GAUGAACGCUGGCGGCGUGCCUAAUACAUGCAAGUCGAGCGAACAGACGAGGAGCUUGCUCCUCUGACGUUAGCGGCGGACGGGUGAGUAACACGUGGAUAACCUACCUAUAAGACUGGGAUAACUUCGGGAAACCGGAGCUAAUACCGGAUAAUAUAUUGAACCGCAUGGUUCAAUAGUGAAAGACGGUUUUGCUGUCACUUAUAGAUGGAUCCGCGCCGCAUUAGCUAGUUGGUAAGGUAACGGCUUACCAAGGCAACGAUGCGUAGCCGACCUGAGAGGGUGAUCGGCCACACUGGAACUGAGACACGGUCCAGACUCCUACGGGAGGCAGCAGGAGGGAAUCUUUCGCAAUGGGCGAAAGCCUUACGGAGCAACGCCGCGUGAGUGAUGAAGGUCUUCGGAUCGUAAAACUCUGUUAUUAGGGAAGAACAAAUGUGUAAGUAACUAUGCACGUCUUGACGGUACCUAAUCAGAAAGCCACGGCUAACUACGUG
Molecule: ribosomal RNA, 497 nt
Filed under: uncultured bacterium
Lineage: Bacteria
Description: partial 16S ribosomal RNA
Rfam family: Bacterial small subunit ribosomal RNA
Source: RNAcentral